UCUGAGCUGAGAGGCUUUUAAGCGCGUGUAUCGGAGAGGGAAACUGCCGUUGCGCAUAUACAAAGCCGAAAGACGGCUUUGGAGAUAGAUUAUUUCAAGCGUACAUAGAUUGCAUUGCACUUUCGUCAAUCCUGCUUGGAAACCAGGCAAGACAUAGCAUAACUAAAUGGUCUUGGGACGAAGGGACGAACAAACGGAGGAGGUAUAAAAGAUUCCAUCCGGCCAACGUUUAAUUUGGAUAAUUAAGCACAGCAAGUCGGUAAGGGUGACCGAUCCCAAUGAAUCCACGGAUGGCGAUGUUCUUAAGGUGGUGGAUCGCACAUGGAGCGCAUUGCCUCAUCCUGUCACAGUUUCUUGCGUCAGCCAAGCUUUGGCUGCUAAGGCGCAGACACAGCUUCCACGAGGAGAGGAAGACGGAUGCUGAUGGUUAACUGCUAAUAACCAGAAAGGAAGCUUAAGAAGGGAAUUUACCUGAUGCCGAUCCGCAAUAAGUCGAGAAGCCGCUCUGGUGCGCUGAGAUGCGUGUAAGCUCACCCAGUUCAGAUGCUGAUGUCGUUUGGAUGUGUAGGAUGCUUCCGUAUGUUUGGUUGAUUAGUCUGUCUCGCGAAAGCGAGGUGUUUCUCUUUUUUUCCUGUUCUUUGCAGGUUUUUGGACGGUAACGUUGCAGCUAAUAGGUGUGCUCUGUAGCCUAAACAGCAGUGGAGAAAGUAUCUUUCAGAAGGAAAGUGGAGCCUCUCAGGAGGUGGAAGGAGAGGCUUCUGUGGAUUCCACAGAGCAUCUACAAGUUCAUGGCUCAUGAGCUAGGAUCAGGAGGACUGUUGCUCGCUGGCCAUGCCUCGGCCGCGCCAGAAGGUGGGGCGUGGUAUGUUACAACAUAAAUGCUCCAAUGUGAAGGCCGCUUUAAAAGGUGGCGAGCGGAGAAACCCGUGAACUCGUCGCCACCAUGGUGAUGAAUGGCUUGGAUCUCUAUAUCUCCGGAGACAUCAGCCUGAUCAAUCUGCUCAACUCAAAACAAAACAGGGCCAGGAUGGUGUCGCGCAGAUCUACGGUCCACAAGUCCACUGGCAGCUCCUCGUGAGCUGACUGCCUCAGCCGCUCCAGCGCCUGUUUCGCUCGGAUUAGCUGCUCCUUCUGCCUCUGGAGAACGAAGAAAGCGCACAGUAAGAAAAAAAGUGUUGCUGGCCAGCCGAGAAGACGUCACCCCCGGCAGCAAUCAAGGCGGCUAGAGCCGUGUCUAGCUUGUCGAUGUCGAGCGCCUCUUUGACGGCACACGUGGAGACCACGGCCGAGAACGCUGCUCUCACGUCUUCCGGAUCCAAGGCUUCUCGCGAAGAGCCUGAAAAGAAGGAAGUUCCGGACUGAUUGAAUUAAGAAAUGGGUUGAGACGAAGAAAAAAAAAAACCUGUUGUAGAGUAUGAUCAAAG
Selaginella moellendorffii is the source of this 1424-nucleotide long non-coding RNA. RefSeq lists it as uncharacterized. The record is from RefSeq and is a predicted model, not a curated record. The transcript is spliced from 11 exons. Lineage: Eukaryota; Viridiplantae; Streptophyta; Lycopodiopsida; Selaginellales; Selaginellaceae.